AUGACAGAUGCAGGUGAGCCCUCAUGCUAUGAGGAGGCAAUGUCUGAUGAGAACAAAGAAGAAUGGUCAGAAGCCAUGCAAGAUGAGAUGAAUUCCUUGUAUGAGAAUUAUACUUUUGAGUUGGUGAAACUGCCAAAGGGCAAGAAAGCACUCAAGAACAAGUGGGUGUACAGAGUGAAGACUGAAGAAAACACCUCACAUCCAAGGUACAAGGCCAGAUUGGUUGGGAAAGGAUUCAGUCAGAAAAAGGGCAUUGAUUAUAGUAAGAUAUUCUCUCCAGUGGUCAAGAUGUCUUCGAUCCGAGUUGUGCUUGGCAUGGCUGCCACCAUGGACAUGGAAAUUGAACAACUUGAUGUGAAGACAACUUUCUUGCAUGGUGACCUAGAGGAGGAGAUAUACAUGGAGCAGCCAGAGGGAUUCAUGGUUGCAGGUAAGGAGCACUUAGUUUGCAAAUUGAAGAAGAGCUUGUAUGGCUUGAAGCAAGCUCCUCGGCGGUGGUACAAGAAGUUUGAGUCUUUUAUGACUGGGCUUGGUCACCAUAAAGCACAACCUGACCAUUGUAUCUUUAUGAAGAGGUACGCCGAGGGUGACUUCAUUAUUCUCUUGUUGUAUGUUGAUGAUAUGCUGAUUGUUGGAAAUGGCACAAAGAGGAUUGCUCUCCUCAAGAAGUCAUUGAGUAAAUCAUUUGCCAUGAAGGAUUUAGGACCAGCUAAGCAAAUACUUGGCAUGAAGAUCUCCCGUGAUAGAUCAAAGAAGCUGCUUUGGCUCUCACGGGAAAGAUACAUUGAGAAGGUACUUGAAAGGUUCAAUAUGAAAGAUGCAAAAUCUGUUCUCUCUCCGCUUGCAGGCCAUCACAAACUGAAUUCUAAACAAUGUCCUACAAGCAAGAAGGAGAAAGAAGAAAUGAGGAAAGUACCUUACCAAUCUGCCGUGGGCAGUUUGAUGUAUGCCAUGGUAUGCACUAGGCCUGACAUUGCCUAUGCAGUUGGAGUUGUUAGCCGGUUCAUGAAAAAUCCAGGUAAAGCUCACUGGGAAGCAGUGAAGUGGAUUCUCAGGUAUCUCAAGGGUACUCCUACAUCUUGUCUAUGCUUUGGAAGUGGUGAUCCUGUAUUGCAGGGCUAUACAGAUGCAGAUUAUGCAGGUGACAAGGAUCGUAGGAAGUCCACAUCCGGAUACCUGAUGACUUAUGCAGGGGGAGCAGUGUCAUGGAAAUCAAGAUUGCAGAAAUGUGUUUCUACAUCAACUACAGAAACUGAGUACAUUGCAGCAGUUGAUGCUGGCAAGAAAGUUUUGUGGAUGAAGAACUUCUUGCAAGAGCUCAGCAUGAAGCAAGAGAAGUAUGUUCAGUUUUGUGAUAGUCAGAGUGCUAUUCAUCUUGCCAAGAAUUCAAGCUAUCACUCUCGAACCAAGCACAUUGAUGUGAGGUACCAUUGGAUUCGAGAUGUUGUGAGUUCCAAGUUGCUGAAACUUGAGAAGAUCCAUACAGACGACAAUGGUUCGGAUAUGAUGACCAAGAUAUUACCAAAUGAGAAGCUACAAGCAUGUUGCAAGGUAGCGGGCAUGGCGCUGCCCCCCUCAUGA
This 1581-nucleotide ribosomal RNA is filed under the name Triticum aestivum (bread wheat). Its description in RNAcentral is "partial small subunit ribosomal RNA". Lineage: Eukaryota; Viridiplantae; Streptophyta; Magnoliopsida; Poales; Poaceae. The record is from RNAcentral.